Drosophila takahashii is the source of this 412-nucleotide non-coding RNA. The record is from RefSeq and is a predicted model, not a curated record. NCBI's taxonomy places the organism in Eukaryota, Metazoa, Arthropoda, Insecta, Diptera, Drosophilidae.
GGCCAAAACGCGAAUGAACAUCGACCGUGGAAGUUGACUGCUGAAGUACAAAGCGCUAGGCUGAAGUAUACGAAAUUCAUGUGAGACUAGCGAGCCGCGGCCUCACUAGCCAAAGCCAGCCACUAAAACCAAAAAACAAAAAAAAAACAGGCAGCAGCAGGAGCAGCUCACACACACACACAUCGACAAGCGCCAGGACCCGCAUCAUCAUUCCUUCCUGCCAGGCCGUCGCCACUGCUGCCGCCCCUCCGCUCGCCCCGCAGGAGUCACGCUUCGUUAAACGCUGCUCAAAACCCAUCAUCUAACUAAUAAAGCGGACGAUAAACAAGCACAUUAAAUACCGAAGAGAGCGAAGUCGAGCUAUUAACGCUAGUCUGGAACGCAGAACAUUGGCAACAUUUUCGAAUAGGAG